UGGGUAGUGAAGACAUACCCUAGGUUUCCAAUGGAGGCUAUGGAAUCCCCGUUGGGAUUUUUUUUUUAAGAACAGGUUGGAUAAACACCUGUCAGGGAUGGUCUAGGUUUACUUGGCCCUGCUUCAGCGCUGGAGCUGGGCUUUGAUGACUUCUCCAGGUCCAUUCUAGCUCUACAUUUCUAUGAUUUGAUGCAUUCAGAUUGAGCCCAAUGAUUUUAGUUAGACAAAAGCAUUUCAGUCCUCAGGAAAUAAAACCAUUGAGUGCCAUAGGCAGAGAACAGGAGAGACCGAGGUACCACUGCCCGAGGCCCCUGCAAUGGCAGGAAAUAGAUUAGAUAAGACAUGCCCAGAUGAUCUGUGACCCUUGCUGAAGAGAGAGCCAAAACUUCCCCGAAGUCCCAGCCAGUCUGACAUGGUGUGUGGAAUCUUCCUGAUUCCAAAUCUGAGGAUCUGUAUGACCCUGAGCAUGUCAGCAAGAAACACCAGCCAGGCAUCUAAAAAAGAGGAUUCUCCAUGCCACCUGAGAGCACUGCUCCUCCCCAUUUGUCAUCGUGGCUCCAGCUGUGGCCAGUCUCUGGUGCUUCAGAAGAGGGCAAAUAAAUAAAUAAAUAAAUGUUCAACAACCCUAGAAUACAUCUGGCCAAUUGUGUAUCAGAGAAAAAAUUCCUUCCUGACCCUGCGGGCAAUUGUAUGAACCUCUGACGCAUGAGAUCUGAUUUGCUGCUCCUCUCCCUGUAUUUCAGCCUCCCUGCUGUAGGAAGCAGGGCUGGGAACAUGGCAUGGGUGAGGCAAGGGUGUUGGCAAAAAGAAGGGGAGUGGAUCUAGCAUUGAGCACUUCUACCAUUCUAGGCUGCAAAGAUCCCUGCAGAUAAUGGUGAAGAUGCUGCCAUAAUUUGGGGUUUGCAGCAUUGGCUGCAGGCACAGUCUGGGUGGUACAAAGGGGGAUUAAAGGUACCUUGGCACACCCUACACCCCUUGGGGGCAUCUUCUGGGCUGCACCUCUUGGAAGAUGCAGCACCGAAUGCAGCCUUAGAUAUUCCACCAGAAGAGUUGCUCACAAUACUACUUUAGAAAGAGGCUGGGUCUGGCUCAGAAACCAAGUUUCAUGCUAUGUCCGAAAAGGAAAGAAUGCAAUUUCAGCAUGCAAAUGAAAUCGUUCCACUCAGAAAAAAAUCAGUAUCAGUAGCUCAGCCCUUGAAAACCCCCUCUGGUGAAAUGAUGAAUGAUUUGAUACAUUCAUCAUAAGGAUGAAAGGUCUGUGCUAGGAACAGAUUUCUAGCGUUAACAUUCAAGAGGUAAAUUGCAGUGAUUUGGCUGGUGGAUGCUGAAACUUGCAUAGAUAUUGUAUAUUUGCACUUGAAGUACUUGGUUUCUGAUCAUUUCUUUGUUUGCUAGAGACUGAAGGGCACUGGUGAUCAGCUAUAUUUUCUGCCACACUCUGAGAGGAUAGAGAGCAGCAGCAACAGAAUCAGAGAGAAACGAAACUGCAAAAGAGGAUAGCCAUAAAGCAAAUUGGAACAAAAAGCCAACAGAGCCCGUGACAACUCAGCCGACUCGUGGGGUUGGCACGUCCUCCAUCACAACAGUCAUACAGACCGGAGGAGAUUGGACCACUGGCCUCUUUGGUAUCUGCAGUGACAAGAGUGUUUGUAAGAGUUUGCAGUGUUUUAUCAUUGCUUUAAUUCCUCCUUUGGGGAUGAAUCCAAGUAAUACGGGGAGGAAAACAAAAUGAGACUUUUAUAGACCAGUUACCAGACGCUGGAGCUUGAAGAUCAGACCAUCCAUCAUGGCUGGUUUAGGGGUAAUGAAAUUAAUAUAACCGAGACUCCCAAUAAAUCAAUAGUCAAAUCAUAAAAACAAAUAACACUUGUGGAAGCCUCUUUCAUGGAUUCUAAAGGUUGGGUGUAUUUUAUUGUCCCAUUUUGUCAGUGGGGAAACUGAGGUAUCGGACCAUUAAGUGUCUUACUGAAGCUAACACAGUGAAUCAGUGGUAAAGUCAGGAAUAGACCAAUUCUUCUGACUCCAAUUCAGGCGCUGAAAGCUGUAGAAUGCCUGUCACAGAGGCCUUAGUUGUUCCAUGUUUUUGUUUCAUUCGGGUGCUCCAUGUAAGUGAGUGCUAACAGAACCAAGUAUUAGCCCGCGUAAUGCAGGAACUCAUUAAGGAUUUUGCAAAUAGUUACAAAGAAUCUUUCACACACACACUUUCCCCUUUGGUUUAUCUGGUGUGUCUUGCAAGCUUCCUCUACACAGCCCGGCUAAUGAACUCCCUUGCUGACUUACAUUUGCGAGUUCUGUGCCUUUCCUGAACAGGGGAUACCCAUCUUCUCAUAUUGCAUGGUGAUUUAUAGUGUGGGCGAAUGAUGGGAUCAAAGUGAGAUCUCUACGCGAAUUUUACUUGUGACAGUGUUUAUCUCAACUUCCCUGCAUUCUGGAAUGGUCCCUAAUUUGAAUGGCUGCUACUAUUUCCGUUGCCAGAAGGAAGGGAAGGAGGGGUGUCCUGAAGCAGGUUUGAGCUAAAUAGGCUCUGUCUAUUUUCCUCCCCUGCGGGCUGAAUUAAACCACAUCAGUACUUGAGAGAACCAGGGAAGAUGGGUCUGAAAGACUAGAUAUCUCCAGCCAAAUCAGUUUGUUCUUGUGCAUUAGUGAGUUGCUUAUAGCCAUGUUGUUUGUUGAAGUAGUUUGUAGUUUCUGGUGCCAACUCACUCAGUACCAAAGGACCUCCGAACCAAAACUCCCCCAUCUACUUUUCUUCCAUAGUUGCAAAAUAGCUUUAAAUAUUGGAGCCGUUCUUGAAGAUUAGUUUCUGGAAUAUUGAGAACAAUCCUUGUCAAAAGAGAAUUGAUUCGGAAAGUUAUCAUUUUCAGAGGAGUUACUCUCACCAAUAGGAAGGCAUGAUAUUCCAUCAGAUGACUAGAAUGCCCCAUUUUGUAAGAUAGAGUAUGUACUAUGAGAGGUGCAUGUUACUGGAUUACCUGUGUGUUAAACACAUUUUGAACAGACGUUCAGAGAGGAAGGAUGGUCUAGUGAUUCAGGCACUAGCCAGAGACUUGAGUUCAAGUCCCAGCUUUCCCCCCCUGCAUUCCUGUGUGAUCUUGAGCUAGUCAGUGUAUGUCUGUGCUGCAAACAAACAAACAAACAAAAACCCAGGGCACUGAAUUCUGGAGCCUUGGGUCAGUAGACUCUGACUCAGGUUGUGGGGCUAAAAAUAAAAGUGUAAAUGUUUGAGCUGGAGCCAGGGCUCUGAGACCUUCCUCUCGCACUAGGUUUCAAAGCCUAGGCUCCAGCUUGAGCCUGAACAUCUACACCACUAUUUUGAGCACUUUACCUUGAGUCCUGCAAGCCUAAGUCAGUUGGCCUGGGCUCUGAGACUUCGUGCUGUGGGUCGCAGUGUAGACAUGGUCUUAGCCUCCCUGGGUAUGUCUGCAUUGCAGUUGGGAGCAGAUCUCCCAGCCAGAUAGACAUUUGAGCUAGUGCGCUGAAAAUAGGAGAGUGGCUGUUGCAGCAUGGGGAGUAGUUCGGGCCAGCUGCCAGAGUCCAAGCUCACCCGAAUUCCUGGGUCCAAGCUCGGGUGUCUAGCCCGAGCUGCUGCCUGUGCCACAACGUCCACACUGCUCUUUUUAGCAUGCUAACUUGAGUGGAGCUUGUCUGUCUACCUGGCUGGGGGACACGCUCCCAGUUGCUGUGUAGACAUAUCUUUUGUGCCUCAGAUCCCCAUCUGUAAAAUGGGGAUAAUAGCACUGCCAUUCCUUGGGAGGGUAAAUAUGUUACAAACUGUGCAUUCC
RNA transcript from Trachemys scripta elegans, 3782 nucleotides. It is a transcript of the gene named PLAC8 like 1, with no coding region annotated. NCBI's taxonomy places the organism in Eukaryota, Metazoa, Chordata, Testudines, Emydidae. The record is from RefSeq and is a predicted model, not a curated record. The transcript is spliced from 2 exons.